Molecule: ribosomal RNA, 204 nt
Filed under: uncultured bacterium
Lineage: Bacteria
Description: partial 16S ribosomal RNA
Rfam family: Bacterial small subunit ribosomal RNA
Source: RNAcentral
UACGUAGGGUGCAAGCGUUGUCCGGAAUUAUUGGGCGUAAAGAGCUCGUAGGCGGUCUGUCGCGUCUGCUGUGAAAACUCAGGGCUUAACCCUGAGCUUGCAGUGGGUACGGGCAGACUAGAGUGCGGUAGGGGAGACUGGAAUUCCUGGUGUAGCGGUGAAAUGCGCAGAUAUCAGGGAGGGAACACCGGUGGGCCGAAAGGC